This 430-nucleotide ribosomal RNA is filed under the name bacterium. Its description in RNAcentral is "partial 16S ribosomal RNA". It matches the Rfam family "Bacterial small subunit ribosomal RNA", at positions 355 to 776 of the family's 1533-position model. The record is from RNAcentral.
UGGGGAAUAUUGGACAAUGGGCGCAAGCCUGAUCCAGCCAUGCCGCGUGUGUGAAGAAGGCCUUUUGGUUGUAAAGCACUUUAAGCGAGGAGGAGGCUACUUGGAUUAAUACUCUAGGAUAGUGGACGUUACUCGCAGAAUAAGCACCGGCUAACUCUGUGCCAGCAGCCGCGGUAAUACAGAGGGUGCGAGCGUUAAUCGGAUUUACUGGGCGUAAAGCGUGCGUAGGUGGCUUUUUAAGUCGGAUGUGAAAUCCCUGAGCUUAACUUAGGAAUUGCAUUCGAUACUGGGAAGCUAGAGUAUGGGAGAGGAUGGUAGAAUUCCAGGUGUAGCGGUGAAAUGCGUAGAGAUCUGGAGGAAUACCGAUGGCGAAGGCAGCCAUCUGGCCUAAUACUGACGCUGAGGUACGAAAGCAUGGGGAGCAAACAGG